Sphaeramia orbicularis (orbiculate cardinalfish) is the source of this 237-nucleotide long non-coding RNA. RefSeq lists it as uncharacterized. NCBI's taxonomy places the organism in Eukaryota, Metazoa, Chordata, Actinopteri, Kurtiformes, Apogonidae. The transcript has 3 exons. The record is from RefSeq and is a predicted model, not a curated record.
CAAAGUGUUGGUUUGCUGCUGUUUUCCAGGUAUAUGAUGAUGUGUUCUAACACAUAUAUGUUGGUUUGUGUCCAUUUAUCCAACAGAUGUCUAAAUGUUCCACUGAUAGAACGUGUACAGUCCAUGUAUUGCCAUGUGCAGACUGUUUGAAGUAGAUCCGGUCGAUCUGACACUAAUAUUCAUCUGGACUUAAACCCAUUCUCUGCUUAAUUCUACAGUUUCACAUUUGGAGCCCAG